UACGUUCCCGGGCCUUGUACACACCGCCCGUCACGUCACGAAAGUCGGUAACACCCGAAGCCCGUGGCCCAACCACUUGUGGGGGGAGCGGUCGAAGGUGGGACUGGCGAUUGGGACG
RNAcentral lists this ribosomal RNA (118 nucleotides) under uncultured bacterium. Its description in RNAcentral is "partial 16S ribosomal RNA". It matches the Rfam family "Bacterial small subunit ribosomal RNA", at positions 1367 to 1482 of the family's 1533-position model. The record is from RNAcentral.